AAAAAAUUAGUUAAACAAAUAACAUUAGUAUGUCAAACUAAAAUUAUUAUAUCUAUAAUAUUUUUUA
RNAcentral lists this transfer RNA (67 nucleotides) under Ferdinandea cuprea. RNAcentral's name for it is "tRNA-Asp". The record is from RNAcentral. Lineage: Eukaryota; Metazoa; Arthropoda; Insecta; Diptera; Syrphidae.